CCUAAUUCAUAUCGAAUCGAAUCGAACCAAACCGAAUCACAUCACCGCCGAACCACCUGUACCUCCUAACAACCUAAAAACAAACCACCACGGAUUCCCUCAUCUCCACCAUAGUCCCACCGCCAAUUAUCCAUUUUCGUUCCAUCUCCGGUGAACAAACCACUAAGCAGCCAUCAAAAUCCCUUUUCCCCAAUUUUUAAUACCACUUUCUGUCAGUUUCAUAUGCGGUGUUUAUCAUCGUUUUUCUCCGAAGAAGCUCUGGUCAGAAUCGUAAUUGCCGGUCCGGUUCUGCUUCAAAUGGCAGAGAUUGGAAUAUCUGACAGUAGCUGGUGGUUCGUUAGAAGAAACGAUCACACUGCAAAAAUUUCCAGUACAGAGGAAAAUAAAUCUUCCUGGCAAUUUUGAUCUAGAAGAAGACAUGGAGUUGGUGGUGGACAGAGAUGAGCGGAGAUGAGGUGAAAAUGGUGGGUAUUGUUGCAUAUUGUAUUGUGCAUACUGUAUUACUUUAAUGUAUGCUAUGUUUGGAUAGAUUGUAUUGUUCUCCAUCGUUACAUAAAUAUCACACAUCAACAAUUUGAUUGAUAAAUCAA
Long non-coding RNA from Solanum tuberosum (potato), 590 nucleotides. RefSeq lists it as uncharacterized. NCBI's taxonomy places the organism in Eukaryota, Viridiplantae, Streptophyta, Magnoliopsida, Solanales, Solanaceae. The transcript is spliced from 2 exons. The record is from RefSeq and is a predicted model, not a curated record.